RNAcentral lists this ribosomal RNA (658 nucleotides) under uncultured bacterium. RNAcentral's name for it is "bacterial SSU rRNA". It matches the Rfam family "Bacterial small subunit ribosomal RNA", at positions 94 to 788 of the family's 1533-position model. The record is from RNAcentral.
AGUGGCGGACGGGUGAGUAACGCGUGAGAAUCUGCCUUGGGGUCGGGGACAACCACUGGAAACGGUGGCUAAUACCGGAUAAGCCGAUUGGUGAAAGAUUUAUUGCCCGAAGAGGAGCUCGCGUCUGAUUAGCUAGUUGGUGAGGUAAGAGCUCACCAAGGCAGCGAUCAGUAGCUGGUCUGAGAGGACGAUCAGCCACACUGGGACUGAGACACGGCCCAGACUCCUACGGGAGGCAGCAGUGGGGAAUUUUCCGCAAUGGGCGAAAGCCUGACGGAGCAAGACCCUGAGGGAGGAAGGCUCUUGGGUUGUAAACCUCUUUUCUCAGGGAAGAAUCUCUGACGGUACCUGAGGAAUCAGCCUCGGCUAACUCCGUGCCAGCAGCCGCGGUAAUACGGAGGAGGCAAGCGUUAUCCGGAAUUAUUGGGCGUAAAGCGUCCGCAGGUGGCGAUUCAAGUCUGCUGUCAAAGCACGGGGCUUAACUCCGUAAAGGCAGUGGAAACUGAAUAGCUAGAGUGCCGUAGGGGUAGAGGGAAUUCCCGGUGUAGCGGUGAAAUGCGUAGAGAUCGGGAAGAACAUCGGUGGCGAAAGCGCUCUACUGGACGGCAACUGACACUCAGGGACGAAAGCUAGGGGAGCGAAUGGGAUUAGAUACCCC